CGUUGUGGAGGCGGUGGAGUUAAGGUUAACCGGAAGAUGCACGACCAUACUUUCACUUUCAGUCUCAGAGCUGCAGCAUCUUCUCCACUUGGUACAGAUCGGAUUAAUCUGAUUCACAGUUUAUCCCGCAGUCAACAAUUCUCCAGUGCUAAAAACAAACCUACCAAUCAAUCAGUCCCCCUCACCAGCAGCAGGAUGGCCUUCCAAGUCUUAGUGCAUUUAGACAAAAAAACGAUCACGGUCACAGUGGCAGAAACCGAGGAACAGGCACUGAAGACUACCAUCAGAGAGUUAAAGGAGUUAAUUCUACAGACAGUGAAGGAAGAAAUCAGGCCAGGUGCAAAACCAGAUGAACCACCAAAAAGGAGACGCAGUCGUGAAUUAACAUUUGAAGCAAUGGCUACACAGUUCCCCAACAGAUGUCUUGUACAGUAGAGAGAAUGGUCACACCAUGGUUCCGGAGGAGCUUAAUUUCGUUACAAUUUUGUGGAAAAAUAAAUUUCAAAAGUGUAUUUGCCUUUUUAUUUUU
This 529-nucleotide long non-coding RNA is filed under the name Astyanax mexicanus (Mexican tetra). Its description in RNAcentral is "lncRNA (ENSAMXG00005011715.1)". Lineage: Eukaryota; Metazoa; Chordata; Actinopteri; Characiformes; Acestrorhamphidae. The record is from RNAcentral.